CUGGCAUUCAAUGUGGAUAAGUGCAUAUAAUAAGAUAAUGCAUAUUGGACAUAAAAACCCAUGGACAGAGUAUAGAACACUUGAGAGUCUUAACCUCAACAUCUGAGGAAAGGCCCGCGGGGCAAGUCCAUACCUCUUAUACCCUGCCCCUCGUGCCCCAGCCCUGUACACCUUCUUCUACCACAUCACACCAACUUCUCUUUGGCAGGAGAAUGCACAACCCUUUCCUUCCCUUCUUCUAACUCACAUUCUUUACCUUCAUACAUACCUAUACACACUGAUAGACUGAUUCUUGUACCUACUACUUACGCACCCACAUUCUGGUGGCAGCUAACCUCCGUGAGCAAACGUGACGUAACUGGCUAAUAGAGCAGCUUCCCGCAAACUCUGUAUAGACACAACAAUGCAUUUGUGGGGGCAGGCUCCCGAGAGCCCACUGUUAGGAUAACUGGGACGGAUAAGAUUGUGAGACACGUCCUAGCUGUCGUUUCCACACCACAACUCGAGUCUGAUGAACAGUAUUGAACCUGGUGAUAUACUGUGGGGCUUAAUACUUUGUAAAUAAUACCUGACCUUAACGUUGUUUCGCGAUUGUCACGCCUGAUAUGACAUAUGAUAUUAGUAAUGCCCCAAGGAAAGGGGGAACUGGAAGGAACAAGCGCUCAUGAGAAGGGCGAAAGGUUGCAAGGCAUGACCCUAAGAUGGGGCGUGAGCGGAUGCAUUGUGCUAUGUAGAGAUUAAUGUUUAACCCCUCAAGGACACCGCUUCAGAAGCUUGUCUUACGCUUA
Molecule: non-coding RNA, 788 nt
Organism: Pelobates cultripes (western spadefoot toad)
Lineage: Eukaryota; Metazoa; Chordata; Amphibia; Anura; Pelobatidae
Source: the annotation of a GenBank genome assembly